Phlebotomus papatasi is the source of this 45-nucleotide non-coding RNA. NCBI's taxonomy places the organism in Eukaryota, Metazoa, Arthropoda, Insecta, Diptera, Psychodidae. The record is from Rfam.
ACAAAGGUUUUAUUAAAAACCAUGCAUAAUGCCUUUAAUUAUAGA